Molecule: small RNA, 877 nt
Filed under: Pongo abelii (Sumatran orangutan)
Lineage: Eukaryota; Metazoa; Chordata; Mammalia; Primates; Hominidae
Description: processed transcript
Source: RNAcentral
CAGGCUUGCAACUUGUGUCCUGAGCUCUCUGAGUUAUUUGAGUAAUUUUAUUUCUCAUUUGAUUCAGCGGUUAAUCUGGGUAUUUGACAAGUUCAUCUGUUUCCAACAGGAACUAUACUAGGUCCAGUAUAGUGUACUAGUUUCCAGACAAGGUCUGAUUUCUGGAUUGGGAUCCAGAGGUCAAACUGGGUAUUUGACAGAUUGAACUAGGUGUUCAACAGAAACUGAACUGGGAGUCCAGUUGGAGUCCUCAGCCACCUGGACGUCAAAUGAUUGCCAUCAGAAAGAGACAACUUGAAGAAACCAACAAUGACUAUGAAACAGCUGAUGGCGGCUACAUGACUCUCAACCCCAGGGCACCUACUGACGAUGAUAAAAACAUCUACCUGACUCUUCCUCCCAAUGACCAUGUCAACAGUAAUAAUUAAAGAGUAAUGUUAUGCCAUGUGGUCACACUCUCAGCUUGCUGAGUGGAUGACAAAAAGAGGGGAAUUGUUAAAGGAAAAUUUAAAUGGAGACUGGAAAAAUUCCUGAGCAAACAAAACCACCUGGCUCUUAGAAAUAGCUUUAACUUUGCUUAAACUACAAACACAAGCAAAACUUCACUGGGGUCAUACUACAUACAAGCACAAGCAAAACUUAACUUGGAUCGUUUCUGGUAAAUUCUUAUGUUAGAAAUAAGACAACCCCAGCCAAUCAUAGGCAGCCUACUAACAUAUAAUUAUGUGACUAGGGACUUUCUAACAAGAUACCUACCCCCAAAAAACAAUUAUGUAAUUGAAAACCAAUCAAUUGUCUUUAUUUUGCUUCCACAUUUUCCCAAUAAAUACUUGCCUAUGACAUUUUGCCACUGGAACACUAAACUUCAUGAAUUGUG